CCUGAGUCUACAGGCAGCUGAAUUAGGCUCAGCUGGGCAUGCAAGUCCUCCCGCUUGGACACUUCCUAUAGUGGAAGUGAUCGGUGCAGCCGGACAGGAGAGGGAGGCGCACACAGGAAAAGAGGCACAGAGAGAGUGAGAUGAGAAGAUCGCUGACAACUGUGUGGAAGCAGGGGGGAUACAGCUAGCCUGGCGCUGUCUAAAGUGUAAGACAGGAUGCAAAGUCUCUCACUCUCCCUCUGCCUACCUGAAGAUGAAGAUAAAGAGCAUGAGCAGCAUGCAGAAGGUGGCCACGUUGUCCAUGGUCUUCAUCAGCACCACCAACUGCCUCUGCAGGG
Long non-coding RNA from Siniperca chuatsi (mandarin fish), 338 nucleotides. RefSeq lists it as uncharacterized. The transcript has 3 exons. The record is from RefSeq and is a predicted model, not a curated record. Lineage: Eukaryota; Metazoa; Chordata; Actinopteri; Centrarchiformes; Sinipercidae.